This 63-nucleotide transfer RNA is filed under the name unidentified. RNAcentral describes it as "Ischnodemus noctulus tRNA-Trp". The record is from RNAcentral.
AAAGUUUUAAGUUAAUUAAACUAUUAACCUUCAAAGUUGAAAAUAUGAAUAUCAUAAACUUUA